Molecule: ribosomal RNA, 468 nt
Filed under: uncultured bacterium
Lineage: Bacteria
Description: partial 16S ribosomal RNA
Rfam family: Bacterial small subunit ribosomal RNA
Source: RNAcentral
GACGAACGCUGGCGGCGUGCCUAACACAUGCAAGUCGAACGGGAACGCCCGGUCUUUGGGCGGACGUGUAGGUGCCGACUGGGGAGUUACACGUGGGUUAGCUCUCCCUCCCCGUGGGGGAACCUCAUGAAACAUGGGGUCUUAUCACCUAAGAUCUCUUGCCUCAUGGUGGGGGCGGGUAAGAUUUGCUGGUUGGUGAUGGACACGCGGCCCAUCAGCUUGUUGGAGGGGUGGUGGCUUACCAAGGCUUGGCCGGGUAGCCGGCCUGAGAGGGUGAGCGGCCACAUUGCGACUGGGCUGCGGCCCAGACUCCUACGGGAGGCAGCAGUGGGGAAUAUUGCACAAUGGGCGGAAGCCUGAUGCAACAACGCAGCGUGCGGGAUGACGGCAUUCGGGUUGUAAACCGCUUUCGCCUGUGACGAAGCGUGAGUGACGGUAAUGGGUAAAGAAGCACCGGCUAACUACGUG